This 416-nucleotide ribosomal RNA is filed under the name alpha proteobacterium BAL163. RNAcentral describes it as "bacterial SSU rRNA". It matches the Rfam family "Bacterial small subunit ribosomal RNA", at positions 32 to 494 of the family's 1533-position model. The record is from RNAcentral. Lineage: Bacteria; Pseudomonadati; Pseudomonadota; Alphaproteobacteria.
AACGCUGGCGGCAGGCUUAACACAUGCAAGUCGAACGGGCACUUCGGUGCUAGUGGCAGACGGGUGAGUAACACGUGGGAACGUACCUUUCGGUUCGGAAUAAUUCAGGGAAACUUGGACUAAUACCGGCUACGCCCUUCGGGGGAAAGAUUUAUCGCCGAAAGAUCGGCCCGCGUCUGAUUAGCUAGUUGGUGAGGUAAAGGCUCACCAAGGCGACGAUCAGUAGCUGGUCUGAGAGGAUGAUCAGCCACAUUGGGACUGAGACACGGCCCAAACUCCUACGGGAGGCAGCAGUGGGGAAUAUUGGACAAUGGGCGAAAGCCUGAUCCAGCCAUGCCGCGUGAGUGAUGAAGGCCUUAGGGUUGUAAAGCUCUUUUGUCCGGGAAGAUAAUGACUGUACCGGAAGAAUAAGCCCC